AUUGAACGCUGGCGGCAUGCUUUACACAUGCAAGUCGAACGGCAGCGGGGAGGAGCUUGCUUCUCUGCCGGCGAGUGGCGAACGGGUGAGUAAUACAUCGGAACGUGUCGAGAAGAGGGGGAUAACCACCCGAAAGGGUGGCUAAUACCGCAUAAAUUCUGAGGAAGAAAGUUGGGGACCUGGGAAUAGGCCUAGCGCUUUUUGAGCGGCCGAUGUCGGAUUAGCUAGUUGGUGAGGUAAAGGCUCACCAAGGCGAAGAUCUGUAGCGGGUCUGAGAGGAUGAUCCGCCACACUGGGACUGAGACACGGCCCAGACUCCUACGGGAGGCAGCAGUGGGGAAUUUUGGACAAUGGGGGCAACCCUGAUCCAGCCAUGCCGCGUGUAUGAAGAAGGCCUUAGGGUUGUAAAGUACUUUUGUUAGGGAAGAAAAGUCAGCUGUGAAUAAUGGCUGAUACUGACGGUACCUAAAGAAUAAGCACCGGCUAACUACGUG
This 494-nucleotide ribosomal RNA is filed under the name uncultured bacterium. RNAcentral describes it as "partial 16S ribosomal RNA". It matches the Rfam family "Bacterial small subunit ribosomal RNA", at positions 30 to 507 of the family's 1533-position model. The record is from RNAcentral.